GAUCAUGGCUCAGGACGAACGCUGGCGGCGUGCUUAACACAUGCAAGUCGAACGAAAAGAGGGAAAGAGCUUGCUCUUUCCGGAAUUGAGUGGCAAACGGGUGAGUAACACGUAAACAACCUGCCUUCAGGAUGGGGACAACAGACGGAGACGACUGCUAAUACCGAAUAAGUUCCAAGAGCCGCAUGGCCCAUGGAAGAAAAGGUGGCCUCUACCUGUAAGCUAUCGCCUGAAGAGGGGUUUGCGU
This 247-nucleotide ribosomal RNA is filed under the name uncultured bacterium. RNAcentral describes it as "partial 16S ribosomal RNA". It matches the Rfam family "Bacterial small subunit ribosomal RNA", at positions 15 to 236 of the family's 1533-position model. The record is from RNAcentral.